UAUUUUAAUAGCUUAUAUUUAAAGUUUAAUAUUGAAGAUAUUAAGAGGACCUUGGUCUUAAAAUAUU
Molecule: transfer RNA, 67 nt
Filed under: Cautires sp. UPOL VK0228
Lineage: Eukaryota; Metazoa; Arthropoda; Insecta; Coleoptera; Lycidae
Description: tRNA-Phe
Source: RNAcentral